GACGAACGCUGGCGGCGCGCCUAAUACAUGCAAGUCGAACGAAGCUGUUUUAACCGGUGCUUGCACCGACUUAAACAACUGAGUGGCGAACGGGUGAGUAACACGUGGGUAGCCUGCCCCAAAGCGGGGGAUAACAUUUGGAAACAGAUGCUAAUACCGCAUAACCACAGAAACCACAUGGUUUCUGUGUCAAAGAUGGUUUCGGCUAUCACUUUGGGAUGGACCCGCGGCGUAUUAGCUAGUUGGUAAGGUAAUGGCUUACCAAGGCAAUUAUACGUAGCCGAACUGAGAGGUUGAUCGGCCACAUUGGGACUGAGACACGGCCCAAACUCCUACGGGAGGCAGCAGUAGGGAAUCUUCCACAAUGGACGAAAGUCUGAUGGAGCAACGCCGCGUGAGUGAAGAAGGUUUUCGGAUCGUAAAACUCUGUUGUCAGAGAAGAACGUGUGCGAGAGUAACUGUUCGUGCAGUGACGGUAUCUGGCCAGAAAGCCACGGCUAACUACGUGCCAGCAGCCGCCGUAA
RNAcentral lists this ribosomal RNA (524 nucleotides) under uncultured bacterium. RNAcentral describes it as "partial 16S ribosomal RNA". It matches the Rfam family "Bacterial small subunit ribosomal RNA", at positions 28 to 523 of the family's 1533-position model. The record is from RNAcentral.